RNAcentral lists this ribosomal RNA (222 nucleotides) under uncultured bacterium. RNAcentral describes it as "partial 16S ribosomal RNA". It matches the Rfam family "Bacterial small subunit ribosomal RNA", at positions 57 to 305 of the family's 1533-position model. The record is from RNAcentral.
GCAAGUCGAGCGCUUUCUUCGGAGAGAGCGGCGGACGGGUGAGUAACACGUGGGAACGUGCCCAAAGGUACGGAAUAGUCGAUGGAAACGUCGCUUAAUACCGUAUGUGCCCCUUCGGGGGGAAAGAUUUAUCGCCUUUGGAUCGGCCCGCGUCUGAUUAGCUAGUUGGUGAGGUAAAAGCCUACCAAGGCGUCGAUCGGUAGCUGGUCUGAGAGGAUGAUC